This 627-nucleotide ribosomal RNA is filed under the name Flavobacterium sp. So3Ps_838. RNAcentral's name for it is "bacterial SSU rRNA". It matches the Rfam family "Bacterial small subunit ribosomal RNA", at positions 391 to 1019 of the family's 1533-position model. Lineage: Bacteria; Pseudomonadati; Bacteroidota; Flavobacteriia; Flavobacteriales; Flavobacteriaceae. The record is from RNAcentral.
GCCAUGCCGCGUGCAGGAUGACGGUCCUAUGGAUUGUAAACUGCUUUUGUACGAGAAGAAACAACAUUACGUGUAAUGUCUUGACGGUAUCGUAAGAAUAAGGAUCGGCUAACUCCGUGCCAGCAGCCGCGGUAAUACGGAGGAUCCAAGCGUUAUCCGGAAUCAUUGGGUUUAAAGGGUCCGUAGGCGGUUUAGUAAGUCAGUGGUGAAAGCCCAUCGCUCAACGGUGGAACGGCCAUUGAUACUGCUGAACUUGAAUUAUUAGGAAGUAACUAGAAUAUGUAGUGUAGCGGUGAAAUGCUUAGAGAUUACAUGGAAUACCAAUUGCGAAGGCAGGUUACUACUAAUGGAUUGACGCUGAUGGACGAAAGCGUGGGUAGCGAACAGGAUUAGAUACCCUGGUAGUCCACGCCGUAAACGAUGGAUACUAGCUGUUGGGGGCAACUUCAGUGGCUAAGCGAAAGUGAUAAGUAUCCCACCUGGGGAGUACGUUCGCAAGAAUGAAACUCAAAGGAAUUGACGGGGGCCCGCACAAGCGGUGGAGCAUGUGGUUUAAUUCGAUGAUACGCGAGGAACCUUACCAAGGCUUAAAUGUAGAUUGACCGAUUUGGAAACAGAUCUUUCGCA